RNAcentral lists this ribosomal RNA (392 nucleotides) under Spirinchus thaleichthys (longfin smelt). RNAcentral describes it as "partial 12S ribosomal RNA". It matches the Rfam family "Bacterial small subunit ribosomal RNA", at positions 801 to 1401 of the family's 1533-position model. The record is from RNAcentral. Lineage: Eukaryota; Metazoa; Chordata; Actinopteri; Osmeriformes; Osmeridae.
CUUUGAUAUUAAUAUACCCCUAAUAUCCGCCAGGGAACUACAAGCGUUAGCUUAAAACCCAAAGGACUUGGCGGUGCCUCACACCCACCUAGAGGAGCCUGUUCUUGAAUCGAUAAUCCCCGUUCAACCUCACCACCCCUUGUUAGACCCGCCUAUAUACCGCCGUCGUCAGCUCACCCUGUGAAGGACUUAAAGUGAGCAAAAUGGGCAAAACCCAGAACGUCAGGUCAAGGUGCAGCGUAUGAGGUGGGAAGAAAUGGGCUACAUUACCUACAACAGGUUACUACGGAUGGAGCCGUGAAACCGGCCCCUGAAGGUGGAUUUAGCAGUAAGGGGGAAGUAGAGAGUUCUCCUGAAGCCGGCUCUGAGGCGCGCACACACCGCCCGUCACC